This is a non-coding RNA of Trichonephila clavipes, 69 nucleotides long. NCBI's taxonomy places the organism in Eukaryota, Metazoa, Arthropoda, Arachnida, Araneae, Nephilidae. The record is from the annotation of a GenBank genome assembly.
GGUAUAGCACAGUGGUAGAGCAUUCGACUAUUAAUCGAGAGGUCCCCGGUUCGAAUCAGGGUGUCACCU